UACGUAGGGGGCGAGCGUUGUCCGGAAUUAUUGGGCGUAAAGAGCGUGUAGGCUGUUCGGUAAGUCUGCCGUGAAAACCUGAGGCUCAACCUCGGGCGUGCGGUGGAUACUGCCGGGCUAGAGGACGGUAGAGGCGAGUGGAAUUCCCGGUGUAGCGGUGAAAUGCGCAGAUAUCGGGAGGAACACCGACGGCGAAGGCAGCUCGCUGGGACGGUACUGACGCUGAGGAGCGAAAGCCAGGGGAGCAAACGGGAUUAGAAACCCUUGUAGU
This 271-nucleotide ribosomal RNA is filed under the name uncultured bacterium. RNAcentral describes it as "partial 16S ribosomal RNA". It matches the Rfam family "Bacterial small subunit ribosomal RNA", at positions 524 to 794 of the family's 1533-position model. The record is from RNAcentral.